AUUUGAUUUUGUGUUUGACUGGACAGUAUUUAAGUAUCAGCAAUCACAAUCUGGAAACCCUCAACCUCGUCCCCAGGAUGGUGGUGUUGGAACUAGUUCUGGAUUAAACCCUGCGGUCGGCAAUUCUGAGAAGCGUCCAGAUGUCCCAAACCAGAGAACAAAUCCG
Non-coding RNA from Camelina sativa (false flax), 166 nucleotides. The record is from RefSeq and is a predicted model, not a curated record. Lineage: Eukaryota; Viridiplantae; Streptophyta; Magnoliopsida; Brassicales; Brassicaceae.